Molossus molossus (Pallas's mastiff bat) is the source of this 107-nucleotide small nuclear RNA. NCBI's taxonomy places the organism in Eukaryota, Metazoa, Chordata, Mammalia, Chiroptera, Molossidae. The record is from RefSeq and is a predicted model, not a curated record.
GCACUCACUUUGAUAGCUCAUGUACUAAAACUGGAACAAUACAGAGAAGAUUAGCAUGGCCCCUGCACAUGAAGGACAUGCAAAUUCAUGAAGCGUUCUAUAUUUAA